CACGUAGGGUCCGAGCGUUGUCCGGAGUUACUGGGCGUAAAGCGCGCGCAGGCGGUCGCGCACAUCGGCGGGGAAAGCCCCCCGCUCAACGGGGGAGGGUCCGUCGAGAUGGCGCGACUGGAGGCAGGGAGAGGGCGGUGGAAUUCCGGGUGUAGUGGUGAAAUGCGUAGAGAUCCGGAGGAACACCAGUGGCGAAGGCGGCCGCCUGGACCAGCACUGACACUGAAGCACGAAAGCGUGGGGAGCAAACAGG
This 253-nucleotide ribosomal RNA is filed under the name uncultured bacterium. Its description in RNAcentral is "partial 16S ribosomal RNA". It matches the Rfam family "Bacterial small subunit ribosomal RNA", at positions 524 to 776 of the family's 1533-position model. The record is from RNAcentral.